Molecule: ribosomal RNA, 433 nt
Filed under: uncultured bacterium
Lineage: Bacteria
Description: partial 16S ribosomal RNA
Rfam family: Bacterial small subunit ribosomal RNA
Source: RNAcentral
AACGAACGCUGGCGGCAUGCCUAACACAUGCAAGUCGAACGAGACCUUCGGGUCUAGUGGCGCACGGGUGCGUAACGCGUGGGAACCUGCCCUUAGGUUCGGAAUAACUCCCCGAAAGGGGUCCUAAUACCGGUUAAGGUCUUCGGACAAAGGAUUUAUCGCCUUUGGAUGGGCCCGCGUUGGAUUAGCUAGUUGGUAGGGUAAAAGCCUACCAAGGCGACGAUCCAUAGCUGGUCUGAGAGGAUGAUCAGCCACACUGGGACUGAGACACGGCCCAGACUCCUACGGGAGGCAGCAGUGGGGAAUAUUGGACAAUGGGCGAAAGCCUGAUCCAGCAAUGCCGCGUGAGUGAUGAAGGCCUUAGGGUUGUAAAGCUCUUUUACCCGGGAUGAUAAUGACAGUACCGGGAGAAUAAGCUCCGGCUAACUCCGUG